RNAcentral lists this ribosomal RNA (494 nucleotides) under uncultured bacterium. RNAcentral describes it as "partial 16S ribosomal RNA". It matches the Rfam family "Bacterial small subunit ribosomal RNA", at positions 28 to 507 of the family's 1533-position model. The record is from RNAcentral.
GACGAACGCUGGCGGCGUGCUUAACACAUGCAAGUCGAACGGUGAAGCGCCUUCCUUUUUGGUGGGUGUGGAUGAGUGGCGAACGGGUGAGUAACACGUGAGUAACCUGCCCCCUUCUUCUGGAUAACCGCAUGAAAGUGUGGCUAAUACGGGAUAUUCUGGGUCUGUCGCAUGACGGGUCUGGGAAAGAUAUUGUUUCGGUGGGGGAUGGGCUCGCGGCCUAUCAGCUUGUUGGUGGGGUGAUGGCCUACCAAGGCGGUGACGGGUAGCCGGCCUGAGAGGGUGGACGGUCACACUGGGACUGAGACACGGCCCAGACUCCUACGGGAGGCAGCAGUGGGGAAUAUUGCACAAUGGGCGCAAGCGUGAUGCAGCGACGCCGCGUGAGGGAUGGAGGCCUUCGGGUUGUGAACCUCUUUCGCCAGUGAAGCAGGCCUGCCUCGUUUGUGGGUGGGUUGACGGUAGCUGGAGAAGAAGCGCCGGCUAACUACGUG